This 25707-nucleotide long non-coding RNA is filed under the name Ananas comosus (pineapple). RNAcentral's name for it is "long non-coding RNA (ACOM_LNC001459)". The record is from RNAcentral. Lineage: Eukaryota; Viridiplantae; Streptophyta; Magnoliopsida; Poales; Bromeliaceae.
CUCCCUCCUCCUCCUCCUCCUCUCUCCUCUCACCUUCUCCGUUCCCACGCCCACGCCCACGCCCACGCCGACCCCGCUGGUGCGGAGCACGUGCAACGCCACCACAUACUACGACCUCUGCGUCGCCUCCCUCUCCUCCGACCCCGCCGCCGCCGCCGCGCGCGACCCCACCGCGCUCUCCUCCAUCCUCGUCUCCCGCGCCGCCGCCGACGCCGCCAACGCCUCCGCCGCCGCCGCCUCCCUCGCCGGCGCCGCCGCCGCCGCUGAGCCCUCCGCCGCCGCGCUCCGCGCCUGCGCCGCCAAGUACGCCGCCGCGCGCGACGCCCUCGGCCGCGCGCUCGCCGCCCUCGCCGCCGCCGAGUACGACUACGCCUUCGUCCACGUCGGCGCCGCCGCCGAGUACCCCCGCGCCUGCCGCGCGCUCUUCCGGCGCCAGGCCCCGCGCCUCGCCUUCCCCGCCGAGAUCGCGCGGCGCGAGGACGCGCUCGAGCGCCUCUGCACCGACGCGCUCGACAUCAUCACGCUCCUCGGCGACUAAAGAAAUGCAGCGUAGCUGGAGAUGCAUACAAUCUACUUGAUUAUAAUACAAUACGCGGCACUGUAGUUAUAAAUAAUUUAUUUAAUUACAUACAGUCGAGAACUUAUGUUUAUAUAUUUUAUUAUUUUUUAAUAUGUAAUGAUGAGGUUAUCUUUAAUGUAAACAAAUUAUAUUUUGUGUUGAAGUUACACUUUCCAGCUUUGUGAAUUAAUUUCAAAUUUAUCAAACUAAAUACGCUGUGUAAUUAUAACUAAAUACAACUAACAUAGCUUUUAAUUAAUGGCCUAUUUGGUUCACAAUAUCUUUUGAUGCCUUAAAAUGGGAACCCUAAUAAAGUGAGCGUCGGAAUUAUAAAAUUUUAUGUUUGUUUCAUCAUAGAAAUCUGAUAUGAUAGAAAUUAAAAAUUUUUGUAAAAUUCUGUAAUUUCUUUAAACGUGGAAUUUAAAAACCCAUCUCAACACUAGGUAUCCUUUUCCGAUAAAUUUUGAUUUAAAAAGGCUAUAAUACUUUUGUCCAAAUUUUAUAUCUAUCACAAAAAUUUAUAUAAAUUGAGUAUAAAAAUUAAAUAAAGUUAUAAAUUUCCUAAAUUUAGGAGUAUUUAAAUAGAUUUAAUAUUCAAAUAGUCAUGAUUUUUAUGUGAUUAACUUAAUGUAAAUGAUAAUAUUAGUCUCCACAAAAAGAAAUAUUGUACUAAUUUUAUUAACAUAGUUGGACAAAAUCUUUGGUGGAGUCAAUACAAAAAUAAUAUAUUUUUGUGUAUUAAUUCUAAAAUAUAGAGUCCGGUUACUAUACUAUCGAUAGUACCUUGCGCUCGAUGCUAUCGAAUUUUUCGCUGCCAGAACUACUCCUUUAAUCAUUUCUACUCGUUACAUCAUAAAAUUCAACUAAUCACUCUCAUAACUCUAAGAGAUUAUUAUCAUCCUAAACCGCACAUCCAUUCAUCCAAGGGCCGAAAACCGAAUAGCAUAAUACUAUUAAUAAUAUAGUAAUCUAAUUCCUAUAUAUCAAAAAAAAAAAUUUCAUGCAACAGAAAUUCUAUAAUAUGAAUAAAUUUUUUAAAUAUUAAUUUUAAGUGAAUAAGUUAAAUCCUAUGAAUUAGGCAUGCCUCAUUGUGCCACCACAUAUGAUAUGUACUACAUUAAAUAGUUGAUAAUUUUUUGUUUUGAUAUUUAUUUAUAGUGAACAUGGUACACUUGCACACACACACUAGUUAGGUUUUUUUUUUCUCUUUGUUGAGAGACAAAAUUAGAGUACAUAUUAGAGUACAUAUUAUUAUCUCUCCAAAGUGCUUAUUUAGUCUAAGCCUAGGUUGUUGUUCUGUGUUUUUUUUUUUUCAAUCUUCUUUUUACACACUAGCUAGGUUUUUUUAAUAUUCUUUUUCACAAUGUUUCAUAAUGUUUCAUAAUGUUUCUAAUAAGUCAACCAAAAUCCGGAAUUUUCUCCCUCUGUCCCUCUCCAUCAAUUUUUUUUUAAUAAAAGACAGAGUAUCCUAGCUAGUGUAUAAUUCUUAAUUUGUCGUAAUUGUUUAGAGAAUUAUAUAACCAAAGCUCUCUUUUUCUACUCUGUUAAAUAUAAAUAUUAAAAAUAUUAUUUUUUGAUAGUUUAAUUUUUUUAAAAAAAUAUUUAUUUUAAUAAUUUAACAUGAUAUCAGAAUGAAAGCUGCAAAGUUUUAAUCCCAUCAAAUUCUUAAUAUCAUUUAUUUAUUUUUCUAUUUAAAUAGUAAAAUUAUAGCUUUUUUUUCAAUAUAUAUAUUCAUCCAAAGUGGGAGACCCAAUUCCUCAAAUUAGAACUAGGGUAAGUCAUAAAGAAAAGUUGAAAAUUUGGUGCCUACUAUUUGGCCCUACUAGCUUUUAAAUGGAAUUUUCUUAAUAUUAGGAGGAGUACUUCUCAUUGAUAGUUAGUGCUUACUAGCCUACCACAUAAGAUGCUUUAACACUUGUGUUGGCAUUUGACUCUUUGGUGGUCUCGUUGACCACUUGCAUUGACCUUGUCUUCCUUAGAUCAUAGCAAUUCUACAAAAUAAAAACCCUAAAAUACUGUAGCAUAUAUAUUUCAACUCACUGUUCGCAGGUCAAUUUGUGUUCUGCUCGAAAAUGAGCUCAAGUGCAACACUCAAAUACUCUAGCAAAUUUAAGCAGGACUGAUAAUUUAACUCAUUGUUCGCAGGUCAGGUCGUGUCCGACUCGAAAUGAAUUCAAAAUCAAUUGCCAGUGUAGUAAAUAAGACGAACAUAAUUUAGGGUCAGUUCACUCUUGUACAGCUCCUUAACAACCUUUACAUAUAAAAAUAAUUUUUUUAAAAAAAAUAAAAAAGUAAUCACUCCACCACUGGCAAGACAACCUUUAAUCGCCUACGGGGACCCAACCUGUGAAAUAUAAAGUCGUAAGGUUGACAGAUCUAAAAAGUAAGUCUACCAAAAUUAAGUUAGGGAAGAAGCCACUGGAAUGAAAAGAAUUGGUGUAGAACCUUCUAGACACAUAAACUAUAUUUUUAUAAAAAACUAAAAAUAAAAAAAUGCCACACUCUAUUUUAUAAAGGUGAAAAUAUAAAGAACUUAUCUGAACUAUAAAUCAUUUUGAGCUUGUUAUCUGAUCUUUUAAAAUUUUAAUUUUAGUAUUUUACUACUCAAUCUUUCUAUUUGUUUACUUUGAGCCAUUCAACGUCACUUUGAUUUCAAAUUCGAAUACGCCGUUUAUCUUUCAAACAAGUUAAAGAUUGGGCAAUAGUCUGCAAUCUAAUUUAAAAUGAUUCAUAGUUCAGAUAAAACAAGUAGAGGAUCGAAACCUCAACUUCUUAACUAAUUUAGAAAACCUCAAAAGGUUCAUUCAUUCACUACAAAUUAGAAACAAGCAUUAGUUCACUACACCACCACUUCCCGGUCGAACAACCAACUAAACCGGACCCUCCUGGGCCGGGCCUUCGCGGCCCGAUCCUCGGCCCGUUCCUGUACCUUCCUCAUCCUCGGGCCCAGCUCGCAUAUAAAAUCGCGGGCCCUCCGGCCCUCUCCGCUCAGUCCUCUCUCCAACUGCUGCAGUUUCCAUCUGUCGACUAAAAACUCUACUAUCCCGGCGUAGUCGCCCGCGGUGUAUACCCCGAUCUUUUGGGCCACUGCAGAGAAGUUCUCGAACAGCCGCGCGUCCCGGCCGUCGUGCAUGAGGUGCGCCGGCAUUGCGAUGCGCUUGCGCAUCAUGUCGGCGAUGGCAAUCACCGCGCCAUCCGGGUCGAGCUCCAGGAGCUGCUCCACGAUGCGCUCGUACGCGUGCUCGUGCCGCUUCUCGUCGGCGGCGAUGGUGCCGCAGAGCCGGGCCAGGACGGCGUCGCCGCGGGCCUUGGCGAGCCGGGCCGUGUUGCCGUGCGAGACGAACGUGGCCCGCUCCUGGAACGACGUGUAGACGUAGCCCAAGUAGGGGUUGUUCUCCGUGCCGGGGUCCUGAAAAACGGCCCAAAAGGCCCAAUAGUGAAUUUAUGAUUAUACUUGGGCCAGGCCCAAAAGGCCCAUUGGGCCAGAGUAACUAAGCAGUACAUUGGUAUACUCCCAUGUUAGGAAAUAGAGGGUCACUUUAUCAAUCAAUUUGAUGAGUAUUGUUUUUUACUUUUUCUAUUUUUUUAAAAAAAUUGUGUCCAUGGCAAAAUUAUGUACCGUUUAAUAGUGAACCGAUUAAGCUUUUUGACUUUAUAUAUAUCAGGAAAUUAACGGCUAAUAGUCAAAAUUUGUACUUAACACAACCCAAAAAAAUAGUCAAAAAAUUCUCUAUAAAAAAUGGGAAAAAAUUAUUGUGCUCAAAAGUCUAAACUAAGGACAUUAUUCAAACAACCUUUUCGUCAAAUAUCAUCAACAGCAUUAACUUUUUUAAAAAAAGGGAUUGUCCCCGAGCUGUUCAUAUAACUUUAAGAUUCAUGUUAUUGGUAAAUAGAAUAGAAAAUUGUUCCUAUGAAAAGACAAUCUAAUCAAACUGUCCAUCAAUUUGUGCAUUGUAUAUGAUGACCGCUUGAUUAGACUUUCUAUUUUAGGGGCUAAGCGACGUGGGUGCAUGCAUGCAUGCUCUUACGUACCAUUCCCGCGCCGACGAGGUACUGCACCGUCUUUUCGACCAUCCGCAUGUCGACGCGGCCGGAGAGGUACAGGUACUUCCCGAGCGCAUCACCGUGCCGGUUCUCCUCGGCGGUCCACGCCCGCGUCCACACCGCCCACGGGCUCGCGCUGGCCCCGGUCUCGUCCCGCACCCCGUCCAGCGUGUUGAUCAUCGUCUGGUACGUCGGCAGCGCCUCCUCCGUCACCAUGUCCCCCACAAGCACUGCAAGUAGCUCGUCGGGCAAUUGCGCCGACCGGGCCCUCAAUUCCCGAACCUGGGCCCCAAACUCCUCCGUGGGCCGGGCCGAGUCCGGCAGGAAGUCCGUGGGCUGCCAGCAUUGGUCCACGGGCUUCAGCAGCGGUAAGAGGGCCCGGCGGGCCCAACUCUCGAGCGAUUUGAACACCUCGGCCUUCUCCGGCGGCAUCGAGUGCGUCACGCUCCGUCGCACCAUCGGCGGUGCCGCCACCGCCGCAAUCUUAUUAAUUGAGAGCCGAGACACAGUUGAUGAGUCUGCAUUGCACACUACUAUUCUUACUACCGCGUUUGAAAAUAUGACCGCGUUAUGAUUUCCGUNUCGCGGCCGCCGCGGCGCUCCAAUUAAUUGAGAGCCGAGACACAGUUGAUGAGUCUGCAUUGCACACUACUAUUCUUACUACCGCGUUUGAAAAUAUGACCGCGUUAUGAUUUCCGUGUGUGUAUAUAUAUAGAGUGGGGUGCGGAAAUAAAUGACCUUAGAAAGGGCAUAAAAUUUCAAAAAAGGGUGGUGGUUUUAUGACGCUUGUGGCCGUUGGGGUAAAGGGUAUUUGCGUCAUUUCACAUAACGGAGAGGGUUUGUGACCGAGUUGUGCUUUUUUAACAAAACCAAUGGGUGCAGUGGUUUUAUGGUUCCUGUGGGUGUAACAUCCCCUUCGUGGAAACUAUCGCCUGGACAGGGUGCAUGAGCCGCACCAGUUAGAGCGCGAAACGUGGCAUGUUAACCAAUGAAAAGGGGGCGUGGGAUUUGGAAUCGGUGGGGCUGAGAAUAUCAUCGUGGCGGUCGAGUGUUUUGUUAAUUGGGGAUUAGUGGGGUGCGAUUAAUUAAGUUAACCUUUUUAGCGACGCCACCGGGUUUAAUUAAAGGGGUUUUGGCACGUGCGGAGGGGGCGGUGGUUGAGGCCGCAGCACGUGCCCCACAAGGCCCAUUUCUAGGCCCAUUAGAACAAUUUUUUUUUUUCUUCUUUACGUUUUUUUAAAAAUUUUUCAUGGGCCUGGCCCAUUGGGAAUCGUGGGCUUAGUCUUAAUGUAAACUAGCUCUUUAUUAAUUUAACGCAUUUAUAAUUUAUUGGCAUUUUGUGAAUAUAAAUAUUAAAAAAUAUAAUUUUAUGGUAGCUUAAUUUUUUAUAGAAUAAUAAUAUUUUUAUAAAAUUAAUUAUGGUAUCAAAACAUGACAGAGAGAAACCAAGCAAUUAAUAAAUAAAAAAAAUAUAUAUGAAUUUAUAACUUACACUUAUCUCAAUUGUAUAGUCAUGUUUUAUUCAUCGUGGUAAACCAUAUAUAAAUGGAAGCAGUAAAUGCGAACUCACUUUACACAUUUUCCAUCCACACUCAUUUUAUUUUAUUAUUAUUGUUAUUAUUGGGAGACGCGUACGCAAACGACUCUCCCCAUCCAUGCAUGCAAACCCUACUUUUCAUAGGAGCCAAACAAAGCCAUGUCCUUCCUAAACCCUGCGUUCAAGAAGACGAUGGCCAUUAUCCGGAACCGCCGAGCGCAGCGGCGGCCGCUCCCCUCCUACCUCUUUGCGUGACGCUUCGGCGAUCGCUUCGUGCUUCCUUUUCACUUCUUGUAGUUUGAUAUCUUCAUCGAUACAUAGUGCUACAAGUUGCUCGCCGUGGGGGCCCGGAACGACGGUCUCGUGGACGUGAACAUGGUCUUCGGAGCUCACAACCUUGUCCUCUUCGACCGCUUUCUUCUUCUCCUUCUUCUUCUUCUUUCUGAGGCAGCAGCAGAGUGCUGCUGCCAAGAAGGCAAGGAAGAAUAGCCCGCCGAGCGAGACAAACACGACGGGGGGAGUGGCAGGGGAGGGGACGGUGAGGGGGGCAGCGGCGGCGGCGGUGUCACAUGGAGGCGGAGGGGGAGCACUGGGGCCUAGGGGGGCCGGGCGUGGAGGCGCGGGCGGGGGCAGGCGGUGGAAUUGCGGGGGAGGAGGUUAUAGCUGGAGGCGGGGAGGGGGGGCCCCAUCAUGGGACGGCGGCGGCGGCGGAGGGCUUCGCUACGCGAAGGGGGAAAGACGGGGGCGGCGGGACGGAGAGGGCGGCCGAGGGGGCUUGAAAGGGAAUGUUGAGGGGGGAGGGAAGAAGGGGAAGCCAUAGUUUUGAGGGGAGGGGAUAGAAGACAUGUUGUGUUGAGUAGGAUUAGAUGCAAACUAGCUAGGGAUGAGCAAAAUGGUGUGAGUGUGUGUUGGUAUUUAUAAGAACCAAUAUAGAUAUAUAUUGACAUGUAUAUAUAUUAAUAUAUUAUAUAUGUAGUGAAGUGUGAUUUGGUUUGCAUAUGUGUAUGACUUGGCUCCCAUGCUAAGGCUUUUGUGAGAGUUGCUUCAAAUCAAUGUGUUGCUUACCUAGCAACGUGGGGAAGGCCUUUCUCUAUAUAUAGAUAUAUAAUAUAAUUUGUGUAACUAAGAAGCUUUGGAAAAGAACUACUAUACUCAUGGUCAUGAGUAUUAUUUGUUAAGGCUUUGUUUGGUUCCGGGAUAACGAAUAUUGAAAUAAAUUUUUUAUUUCUAAAAUAAUUUGCUAUUCUGAAAUAAUUAAGAUAAAAGUUAAAUUAUUUUUGAUUAAUUUUAUGAGAUAGUAGAGAAUAGUGGGAAAAAAAAUGAUCGUUUGAAUUUGAUAUAAAAUAUAAUUUAAUAAAAAUUUCUUAUAAAAAUAAUUAUUGUAAAAACAAUUUAUAAAAUAAUUCAUUAAUAAUUAUUGUAAAAAUUAUAAUAUUUAAUAAAAAUAAUUUAUUAAUAAAUUAUGAUUUAAUAAAAAUAAUUUUUAUAUAUAUAAUUUUUUAAAAUUCUACUUAAACUUAAAUUUAAUAAAAAUAAUUUAUUAUAAUAUUUAAAUANNNNNNNNNNNNNNNNNNNUAAAUAAUAUGUAUUAAUAUAAUAUUAUUAUAAUUUUAUAAUAAAAAUAAUAUAUUAUAAUAUAUAACAUAUGAUAUCUAUAUAAUUUAGUUUAAUUCGUUUUUUAAUUUUAAUAAUGUUUGAAAUUAAACUUUGGAAUAGCACUAUUCUGCCAAAAUGGUGGAAUAAUAAAUUUCAAGUUAUUCCGGAAUAGCCAGAAAUAGCAAGGUUUGACAGGAAUAAAAUAUCUUGACCAAAAAGCACUUCAUUUGGUGGAAUAGCGGGAUAACUUUUGUUAUCCCCGCUUUAUCCCCGAAUCAAAUCGGUCCUAAAGAAUAUAAAACAAUCUCUAAUCUCCAAAAUUUUAAGCUAAUAGAGAACAAUGUUUAAAUAUCUUUAUAUUUACCACUUUUUUUACGUGAUCGAGACUUGUGGACUUGAAUUAAGUGAGAGAAAAUCGACAAAGCUAGGAGUUUGGCGUUACUAGAAUUCAGAACCUCCUUCUCUGAUAUUAUAUUAAAGAAUAUGAAACAAUCGUUAUUUUUCAAAAGCUUACACUAGUAGAGAACGAUGUUUAAAUAUUUUUAUAUUUAAUAUUAUCCUCUUUUCUUUUGUUUAUUGACGAGUUCUUUGCAAAGUUUUAAAAGUUGGUACAAAAUCUACACAUUUCUUAGUUACUUUUAAGUUUACAGGAGUAUAUGAAUUCAAACAGAUCUCUAUGGGCUCAGCCCAGCUAAAAACAUCACCUUGGGCUCCUUCAACCCAAAUAAGGCCCAAUAAAAGGGGUCUUAUUAACAGCUAAAUUUGAAUUCCCCUCUAUCCCUCCCUCCCUCAAUUGCUCGGCCAUGCACUGCGCGGCGAGGACGCAACGACGUUGGCGCACCUUCAGCGGUGUCGACGGUGGCGACAAUCUCAGCUGCAGCGACGGCAACGGUCAUGGUAAUGGUUAGAACGCACAGCAAAACCGAGAAAGAAAUCGAGAGUUUAAACCAGAGAGAAUUAUCAUAUGAGCAAUCAACUUGUUGCAAUAAUCCGCUUCUAUUAGAUUACAAAUCACUAUAUGAACUUUCAGAAAGAAUGUUAAUCGCCACUAAAAUAUGUUAAAAAAAGCGAGCCAAUUACGCUUUAAUCAUCGGUUUGUGGCAGGUUAAGAUGAAGAAUAAAUGGGCCCAAUCAAUAGACAAGUUAUCAGAUUAUUGUUAGCAGGUCAAUCCAACAAACCUGGAUAUAUGUCACAAAUUUUUAAUUAAAAAUGUGGUUUACCAAAUAGAGGUGAUGAGAAACAAGGCCUACCAACUCCUGCUUUAGGUUUACCUGUUUUUGUACGGAAAUGUAUAGCAUAUUGCCCCUUUUUAUCACGAAAAUAUGAAAAAUUCAGAUAGUAUUCUAAAAUAUUGUUGAUGAGUCGAUUUUGCAUAUAUUAUAGUUGAUUAUUGGAUUAGCUUCUCAACUAUGAUCUUUAACUUAGGUAUCACUUCUGAUAUCUAGAAACAUAUAAGACUGAUUAGCUGCGAAAGACAUAAGACUGACUCGUAAACUGUUAGAACAAAUACCGCACAGAAAUCUGAUUGUGAUUUAAAUCUAACUAAAUUUUUAUUAUGAAAAUAAAUAAAUCAAUUUACAGAUGAUCGCUAAAUCCAAAUAAAUACUUAAUUGAUCCGGAAGCGUGCGAGGCAUUGCCCUAAGGCGUAUUCCCGUCCUUACGUGCGGGAUUAACCGGGAACAACACCCCAAGGUACGACCGGAAUUCCUCCUCCUGCGAGCACGAUCGUGAAGGAGAUUGACGGUGACUCUUUCAACACCCAGCGAUAAAUAAAAAAAAUUAACUUAUGAAAAAGGGAUAUCAAAGUAAAACAAAAUUUCAUCUCUUUUACUUCUCUAUAUAAUAUUCAUAUAUCAUGAACAGUAUGUAGAGGAAUAAUCUAAUAAAUAAAGAGAAUGGGUUGAACAUUGGAAUCCUCAAAGGAUUCCAAUAGUGGAAACGGUUUCCACUAUUAAUCCAUCUCAUUAAUUAAAAUAAAUAACAAUGGAUACUAAUAAAUGAGAAUAAAAGAAUUAAUAAAUAACAAUUAAAAUAAUAAUAAUAGUAAUUAAGAAAUUUGAGUAGUAAUAAUAAUGAUUAAGGGAUUUUGAAUUUUCCUCCAACAUAAACUGUAUACUAAAAUCUCAUUACGUAUCUAUUGUAUUAUCUUUUAUAAAAAGUGAUGAAUCACAUCUUAUAUUAGUUUUGCAUACGAGAGUGACUCAAUUAAUAACAUAUCCAUUACAUUAUUGUGUUACAAGAAGUGAUGAAUCACACCUUAUAUUAGGUAAGCAAGAGAGAGAGAGAGAGAGAGAGAGAGAGAGAGAGGUUGCUUUUUAAGGAUGCAACACAUGUGCUUUCACAUUUUUGAACAUUGGAUAAAUGUGAAGAUCUAUAUAUAGUAUGAGAAAGUUCAUGAAAUUCUCAAUGUGGACAACAAGUGUGUGUUCACUUACCCAGAAGCAGUACUUCUGACUAAAAAAUCUUCAACAGGAUUUUGCUACACUCAAUGGAAAUUAUGAGUUAUAAGGCCUGUGAUUUUAUAUAUAGCUCAUAUACUCAUAUUAACUUCCUACCACAAUACCGACCGUCUCUAGAGCAAGUGGCAAAAGGCUUGGUGGUUGAUACCCGAGAUCCAAGUUUGAAUCCUAGUUGAUUCACAUUUCCAGCUAAGUUUAUUUCUAAAUAAAAUAAACGAAUCGGGUAGCAUGCUACAUUUCUCUCUCAAAAACAAAAAAAAAAAAAACUUCCUACCACAACUAUCUUUAUUUGUAUGCGGAGUAAUUGUUAUUUAGUAUGACAAAAAAAAGUUGUUUCCAAAGCUAGAUAUUAAAAAUCAAUGCUAACAAAUUAAGAAAAUGUAGAUGUUCUAGAUUUCUAAUUCAUAUACACCAGGCGAUUUGAGCGUCCUUCGUUAAGGAGCAAUCAUCAGUAACGGUGGCAAUCGAACAAUUAGUGCAAAACAUGAUUGAGUGGAUAUCUUUGUCGGCUUUUGAUAGACGGUAAAUUUGAGCAAAGCCUGACCUAGGGCUAGGGUUGAGCCAGAGAAAGUUAGGUCAGCUCGAUCCUGAUGCAACAUUGAAAUAAAAGAACUCAUACAUGACCUAGAUUUUUCUGAACCUCAAUUUUUGACACUUAAGUUAGCCAAAUAAGCAGGUCCAAAUUCGAUCAUUUGACUGAGCAUGUUGGACUUGAUUUGUCGCUGUCUAAUAGAUGAUUCAAAUAAGUAAUGUGUAGAAAUUUUUUGCACAUGUACAAUUUAAACUAAAAAUGUGCUAUAGCAAAAGCACCAAGCUGCACAUGUUGAUGUGCAACUUAACCAUGCAAUGGGUGUCAUUAAAUGGAGGAGCUUCAAAUCUAGCUUGUCCAAUCAUGCCAAUGCCCAAUUUGUAAUUUGUAAAAUGGUCAAGGCCUUCACUUACAUACACCCCUUUUGAGACAUGCAUAACUCCAAUUUUACCCAAACAGUGUACAACAAAUUAAUAGAUCCCCUUUAAGAGCCUUGCUUGGUCAUACACACAAUCACUUAGAUGCAAACUCUAAGGAAGAAUCAUCUUUUUCUAAGAGAGAGGACACCUACUAUCCUCCCAAGCUAUAAGUGGAUUCCUACUAAAAAGGCUCAUUGUUGUUAUCAUACAUCUUUCCCUUCUAAGAGAACUUGUUAUCUACACCAGGUUUAUCCAUAUAUCUCAUGCACCUCAAUCAAUAUGUAACAAACAAGGUCUUUAAAUUAAAAAUUUUAGGGUGCACCAAUUAUAUUGCUGAUAUGGCAUUCCUAACCAAUCAGAUUAUUUUUCUUGAAUUUACCUAUCCCAUCAUGGUCAUUAGAUAAAUAUUUUUAUUAUACUUUUUUUUUUCAAAAAUAGAAGUAUUAUUGGCUGGUUAUUGAUUAUAUAGUAUAAGUGUGGCAUAGAGAACUUAUUCCUUUAAAUCGAGAUCUAGUAUUAUAUUUUUAUUCUACACCAACGAAAAAAGAAUACGUAUUAAAGUUAUGUAAACAUAUUAUCGAGAUAUCAAGUAGUUUCAAAAUAAACGGUUUAAAGAAAUACUCUUUAAUUUAUAAAAAAAACUAAUUUCCAUAAUUUGUGAUAAUUUUCUUUAGUAUAUAGUCCUCUUUUAAUGGUGACAUUCAUGAGAUAGAGCAACAUUAUACACACAUACAUAUUUUAAAGUAUUUUACGACUAUGCUAGUUUAGAUAAUUUUAAUUGCGCCGUUGAUACAAUUUAUAAAAGAAUAGAUCUGAGAGAGACGAACAACAAAGUUGAAGAGUUUUAUGUGCUAUGAACACUGACUGUGACUUUAUGUACUUCGUGAGAUUAUGAAUUCAUUCAAUACAAAAGACAAAGUUAAUCUCAAACAUACGAUCAAAGUACACGAUUUCUUUUUCUCGCAACUUUGACGAAAUAAACAGGUCCUAUCACCCUGUUUGGUUCGGGUGCAAGGGGUAGGAUAAAGAGUUAUCCCAACCUUUAUGCCCAAACAAAAAAAAAAGAGUGAGAUAGCUAUCCCACCUCUUAUGUGGGAAUAGCGGUGGAAACAGUUGUUCUCAUCCCUAUUUAAUUUUUUAAAAAUUUAAAUUUAAAAUUUUAAAAUUUAUAAUUUGUAAUUUUAAAUUAAAAAUUUAAUAUUUUAUAUAUUUAAGUUUUGAUUUAAUUUAAAAUUUAAAAUUUAAAACUUUAAAUUUUUGAUUUUGAGAUUUAAAAUUUUAAAUUUAAUUUUAAAUUUUUAAAAUUUAAAAAUCAGAUAUUUAAAUUUAAAAAAUUAANAGUUGUUCUCAUCCCUAUUUAAUUUUUUAAAAAUUUAAAUUUAAAAUUUUAAAAUUUAUAAUUUGUAAUUUUAAAUUAAAAAUUUAAUAUUUUAUAUAGAGCAAUUUUGCAUUUAGAUAAAAAUUAAAAUUCAAAUAAGAAGAUAAUGGACAAUAUCAUUAUUUUCUAUUUAUAACUAUUCAUUAUUUUUCUUAUUCCAUCUUAUCUAUUCAAACACUAUUUUUUUUUAUUCCCGAUAACAAUUUAAUUUUUAUCUAAAUGCAAAAUUGCUCUAUUGUAAGUUUAUAUCUAAACUUAUAACUAUUUCUGAAAUAAACAACUCUUUUUUAUAUCCGAACCAAACGAAGUCUAUAAGCAUACACGAGGUGCACGAAAUAAUUAAGAAUAUAAGGUUAAAAGUACCACUCUAUAUUAUGAACCUUUCCAUUUUUUCCCAACUACUACCCCAAACUGGGCCCCACGCACCUAUCCUCUCAAAUUUACGAAAAUACCCUCGUUCGGGAGCUAUUUAACCUCCCGCCCCAACCGACCCUUUUCCUCUUCUUCUUCCUCUGCGUCUUCUUCGUAGAGACCUCUCCUUCGCUUCUCCGCCAUUUUUCGCCCCGAGAGCAGCUCGAAACACUUCAUGGUCGGGGUUAGGGUUAGGGUUAGUGUUUCUAUCCGAAGAAGAAGAGGCGCCGGUCCGAAGGAGUCGAGCGAUCGCGCGGCGUAUCCGGUUCGAUUCCCAUGUGUUGCCCCUCUCUCUUUACCCGAUUAUCGCUGUAGAUCAUAUGAUAUUUGAGUUUUUUGGUAGAUUAUUUUGUUAUAUUGCGAAUUUAGUGAUCUCCCGAUCGAAAUGAUCCGUUUCUACUCGUUGUCGCGAUCGGAUUGAGAUAGAAAAUGUCUGAAUCCGUCGCUACGGGGCAUCUCGGAUCGGGGUGGGUGAUCUCGUGGUUUUUGAGCGAUAUGUGAAUGGGUUGUUGAGGGGGAUUUGAUCGUGGAGGCGUGUAGAAUGGUUGUGCGGAGGGCGCGGCGGCGGCGGCAGAGAUGGUGAGCGGUAGCUUUAGCCGGAGCACAUCGAUUCGCCUCACGCCGAGGAGUGUGGGGAGCCCUAGGGUUUCGUCUCAUCGGAAAUGGUGGGCGCAUGGCCCGUCGAUCAGCGCACUGGCCGUGACGUUCUUCCUGGUCUCCAUUGUUCUGGUUGUUGGAUGUGUGCUGUAUCUGUAUUUCGUUCGCUACUUGAAUCGCGAGAACUUGGUUUCCGGAUUCCCCGGUGAGGCGGAUGCGUGCGAUGUGUUUGACGGUAGCUGGGUCGCUGACGGGACGUAUCCGCUGUACAACAGUUCGGAGUGCCCCUUUGCUGAAAGAGGGUUUAAUUGUUUGGCAAAUGGGAGAAAGGAUAUGGACUAUUUGAAGUGGAGGUGGAAGCCGCGGAAUUGCGAUGUGCCCAAAUUUAAUGCACCUGAUGUCUUGGAAUGGCUUAGAGGGAAGAGGGUUGUUUUCGUUGGUGAUUCGAUGAGCCGCACGCAGUGGGAGUCUUUUAUUUGUAUGCUCAUGACCGGGGUUCGGGAUCCGCAGAGUGUUUACGAGGUCAAUGGGAAUCAGAUCUCAAAGACCAUUCGCUUCUUGGGUGUUCGGUUCCCAGAUUUCAAUUUGAGUGUGGAGUUCUUCCGGUCUGUGUUUCUUGUACAGCCGGGCCUGCCACCUUGGCACGGGCCCAAACGAGUCCAUUCAACGCUCAAGCUAGAUAAGAUGGAUGAGAUAAAUGGGAAGUGGGUUGAUUCGGAUGUCCUUAUUUUUAACUCUGGCCACUGGUGGACUCCAAGUAAAUUGUUUGACAUGUAAGUUGUUUUCUUAUUUAUUUCUCGAAUUUUUAUAUCACUUUCUGCUGGAACAGCUCAAACAGAUUUUGUCAUAGUGCAUCAGCAAUUCUGAUGUUCUACUGUGCUCAUUAAUAUGAAAUACUAUUGUUUUCCCUUUUAUCACCACAUAUCAAUAAGUUUCCGUAAAUUUAUUAGUUAUGUCAACACUAUUAGGGAUCAACCUGAAAAUCGUUGCUCUUAGCUUCAUCUAUUCGUCUUGUUUUUCUCUCUCUUUCUCUUACCUUAAUAGAUCUCAUAUGACUCAUGAUCCAUAAUUAAUAUGAUUUCUGGAUUAGGAAUGGUAAUCAUGUUGCAGAUAUUGUUCUCUAAAUCAUGUCAAGAAAAUUUGGGGAGUAAAAAUCUCCUUUUAUUAAAAUUGAUCUAUUUAUCAGAUCUUUUAAAAUAAGUUAGUAUUUUAUAUAGGCUUAUUCUUAUUGUUGCCUCGUGGGAUAUUUUACAGCCUGUUUGGAAGGAGAGAAUAGGAGAGAAAGAAGAGAAAAAUUACAAGAAAAAAGAAAGAAAAAAAUGUUCUCAUGUUUGGAUUCAAGUUUUGGGGCAGGAAACAGGAUAAUCAGGCAUAGUGCUUAGGAAAGAGAAUAAUGUUUAUUUGAUCACUUCGUUGCUUAUUUGAUUGGUUUGUGGCAUUUUGCAUGUAACUUUUUGUGGCAUUACUGCUGAUUUAAAAACUCUUAAUAAAGAGAUUAAUUUGAAUUUCCAAAUAUUGUCAGUUUUCUGCUUUACUUAUCGUAUGACUUCCCUUCACUGAUCAUCAGUAAUAAUGUUGUGUGGUUCUGAGGGAUUGUCAUAUAUGUAAUAUGCUACCUGUUUGCUGUGCCGUUUGAUUUCCUACUGUGUUCAUGGGUAGGAAUAUCUGCAGCGCAAGUUACUGUGGAAACUUUUAUAUUGUUGAACUUUUCUGAAUCAAACUUCUCGACAGGGGUUGCUAUUUCCAGGUUGGAGGAACGCUCAAGCUUGGAAUGCCUAUCAAUGCGGCCUUCAGAACGGCUUUGGACACAUGGGCAUUGUGGGUAGAAAAAAUGGUGGACAUGAACAGAACUCAUGUCUUUUUCCGGACUUUUGAGCCUUCUCACUGGAGGUGAGCAUUUGUAUCCCAAGAAGUAAUUAUUUCAGGAAAUACGUCUAAAAUGGUUUUACUGGUCACUGAAUCGUAAGAAUAUUGUUUUUGAAUAAAAACUGAGGCAAAAUUAACUGUUUUAUCUCCUUUUACCUGGCAUGCCAUCGCAGCUCUUGGGUUGACCUCCACCAGAUUUGGAUAUAUUAAAGGCUUUAUUCCCUUCUUUUUUGUGCUUAUAAUAAUGUCUAUAGAGAGUCAGAUUAUAUGAUUUAUCUUUAGGCAGUUUAAAAAUGUUAGUUUGAUUUGAGUUGGUAUUUGACCAUGGAAUAUCACUGCCACAGGAACUGAUCGCUUUAGGUAUUUUCCUAUUUUAGCAUGAUGUUAGAUGCUUGUAUUUUGUUCGCUGGUACUGAUAUAGUUACAUGCAUCCAUGCUUGGUAUGGAGAGCCAUGAACAAAAUGUAUUUGUUGUUUCCUAAAUAUCAUCAGGCAUUUAUACCAAGUAACAAACAUCAGAUACCACAAAUGGUGUCUCAUAUCAUUCUUAUUAUACGAGAUAAAUUGAAUAUACCUCUUGUAAUGAUCCAGCGGCUCAAACCAAAAACUGUGUGAAGUAACUGAACAGCCUUCCUCCGAGCUGAAGGGAAACGAUGGGAGUGAGUUCGGGGACAUCUUAGCUGACGUGACAGAGAGGAUGAGAGUUCCUGUCACCGUAUUGAAUGUGACUUCAAUGGGAGCAUCCCGGAGCGAUGCCCAUAUUGGUAUUUAUAGCCAUCCCUCCACCAUUCUCGAUUGCAGCCAUUGGUGCCUUCCUGGAGUCCCAGAUGCUUGGAAUGAGCUUGUAUUCUCGUAUUUGCUGACAGAUGGUAAGUUUCCUGGUUGUGCAUUUAUAUGCUAUUUGGAAUUUUAUUCAAGUGCUAUGGUUACUACAAAUAAAUUUGUGCAUGCCUGCCUUAUGCUGCAUGUUUUUGCAAUGCUGGUACCUGUUUGGCAUGACUCUUGGACAAGCUUCUUUCUAUGAAAAGCGGCAACUGGAAAUUUGACCGAUAAAAAAUAUAAAAGCUACUAGGCUGUGAAAGCAGAUAGUCCAAUCUGAAGCACCCGCAGCUACUAGGCCGCGAAAGCGGAUAGUCCAAUUUGAAGCAUCUGCUUUUGCUGCAGCAUUAAGCUAUAUUUGGUUAAUUGCAAUAAGAUAUUAGAACUAGUUACCUCCUAAGAAACUCUAGCCGGGCCAAACAGAUCCCUACUUGAGGAGAAGUUGCUGCCUUGACCUGCUCCGCUACGUCGGCCUUGGACCGCCCAGCGAUCGACCACAGAUCUCAUCCAUUCUUAAAAUCAUCAUCACCACCCAGCGAGUUUCAGUCUUUUCGAAAUCUGAAAGUUAUUUUCAUUUAAAGUUGUGGCGAUUGAAGGAAGUGAUGAGAUGAAGGGUACACGGCUGCGCGGCAGACCAGGUCCAGGCAAUAAUUCCUACCUGAGCAUGCAUAGUUCUUUUUAUUCCAACGUAGCGUGAAACAACCCUUAUAAAUUUGCGACGCAAGUGUUGCCUUCUCUAAAUAUGCUAGCUUACUGAUGAGCAGAAACCUUUCAUGUUGUAAUAUCCAAUGCAGCCCUUGAGCUGUUUACUCCUACGGAUUUUAUGGGGGAAAAAAAAUCAUUUUCUAGCUUACAUUGGACUGGAGUUCUUCUUCCUUUUUUUUUAUUAUUAUAUGGUGAUUAUAAGUUACCACAUUAUGCGCGGAUUACCUGUUCUUUACUGUAACAUAGCAUUUUUUAUGAUGAGUAAUUUGUGCGCUUUUUAAUUUUCUGUAGGUUGGAGAAAAAUGGUACGAUAAAAGUCAGGUUUGGUGGUUCUCUUUCUAUUUGUGCUUCCUUUUUUUUUUUCCGUUUUUCUUUUUCAAAUCAAAAGCAGCGCACUGCGAGGUAUGUUACUUUUGUCCAAUUUUUUAUAUUCUUUUUUCCCUUGAGUUCGUGAAUUAACUCCAAUGUGUAGUAUUUUGUAGCUUUAGUUUAUUUUUCCUAGAGGAAAGUGAAAUUACCGAGAUAGAUUGAUCGAUCGAUCGAUCGAUCGACCAUCUGAGGUGUAUGUAAUGGUAAUUGUUUUUAUAGAUGCCAACUUCAAUUUUGUUUUGUAUAGAAGACCUUCGUUUGAUCAAGCAAUUGAUUGAUCUGAGAUCUUGGUGCAUUUUUCCAGUUUCGUCGAAUUUUUUUGUUGCCCGGUGAAAUUUCUACGGAUGUUAUUUACAAUUUCGAUUGAACUGUUUUUCGGGUAUCUUCGUAGUGGUUAAAUACAUAAUUUUAUUUUUCUUAUUUAUGAACAUUUCUCUUGUUCUUUGAUCCGUGUCUCAUUUUUAUUUCUACAUGAAGGAAUGUGUGUUAAUUUCUAUCGUGUACUUAAAACUAGUGUCCCAAAUGAGGCCCAAAAAUUUUACAUGAUUAUUGAAUUUAUAUGUAGAAUUUUAGCGGAAUAAGUAGGAAUAUGACAAGUUGUCAUCUGAAUAAGGUAAAAAUAUUCACAACUUACUUGAAUUAUGAUUUAUUUUGAAUCGACUAUCUGGUCUUUUAAAAGUUGGAUCUUAUUAUCAGAUCUUUCGAUUUGUUUGAUUUGAGUUAGCGAGGCAUUUUGACUUCAAAUUUUAAACUAAUUAUUUAUUUUAAUAAGUUUGUAAUUAUGAGAAUUAUAUAAAGUGUACUAAUUCAAUCUAUUAGUAUAGACGUCAUAUUUAAAUUUGAAAUCUUGAAAAGCUGGAUAGUAAAAUUAAAACUUUAAAAGAUGAAAUAGUUGAUUCAAAAUAAUUUACACUUUCGGUAAGCUCUAUUAUAUAUUUUCACCUUUGAAAUAACAAUUCUAAGACUAGAUAAAAAGAGAGAUCUUUUGUUAUUAGACCUAUCUAAAUUAGUAGUUUAUUAGUUAAUUCCGUUAAUUUAUAUAAAUUUUUUCUGUUAUAUUUAGCUAAUGUCACUCGUCAACUCGUUUUCAGGGAAUCCUACAUCUAAUGUCACAGUCACUAUAAAUAUGUAGACUUUUUGGAGGCAACAACACAGUGCUUAUUUGAAAUUUAAUGUAUAAUUUUGUACGUAUACGAUCGGCUAAAAGGAACAUUGAGUUUUUUAUUUUCUUUUUUUUUGUGUUUUUUUGUGGUGCAAUUCAACUUUGUUUGUAUUUAAAUCUUCAAUGCUGAGAGCUUCACAGUCGCCGAAAUUUCAUGCGAGAUUAUAAUUUGUACUAAGCCAAUCCCAUAACCUGGUGCGACAAAUAGAUAUUAAAUCACAAGGGCAAUAUAUUUAUUUUAACUUGAUUUUAUUCCUGUGCUCUUAUCUUAGGAGAAUAUAGAUGAGAAGUAUGGUUACAAUUUUUCUAAAAUGCUGUUUGUUUUCAUGAAAUAGUUAAUGUGUUUAGUGUACAUUACACCACAAGUAUUUUUUUUUUUUUGAGGAAAAAUAAUAUGCACUCUGUCAUUUAUUUUUUUAAAAAUAAUUUAGUUGAAAAUGUGACAUCAAGUAAAUUCAACAAUUUGGGUCAUAUAUAUAUAUAUAUAUAUCGUAUAGAGAGAGAGACUGAGAGAGAGAGAGAGAGAGAGAGAGAGAGAGAGAGAGUCCGGUUGUUAUGCUAUCAAUAGCACCAAGAAGUUGGAGCUAUCAAGUUUUCUGCCGUUAGAUUAACCCCUUUGAUUAUUUUUACCCGUUAGAUUAUACUAUUCAACCAACCACCUACUUAACCCUAGGGGGCCCACAUCAUCCUAAUCGCACAUCUUUUAAUCUAAGGACGGAAAACUUAAUAGCACUAAGUUAUUAGUGCUAUUGAUAGUAUUCCAAUCUAGUUCUAUAGAGUCCGGCUGCUAUGCUAUCGAUAGCACCAAAAAGUUAAGUUUUCUGCCGUUAUAUAUAUAGUAGAACUACUAUGCUAUCGGAAGUAUAGAGAAUCUGAUAUUUUUGAUUUUCGAUUCAAGCGUUAAAAAAUCAAAAAAAUCAAAUCCUCUACGUUUUCAAUAAUAUAGUAGCUCUAUAUUUAACUAAAAUUAUGAAAUAAUUAAAUUUAAAAUUUAAAAUUUAAAAUUCUAAUUAUCAAACUUUUCACUACUGGUGCUAGAAACGGCAGUGUCAUUAUGAGACUGUUACUGAGAGGAAGACUCUCCCCUCCAGUCCAACAGACAGACAGUCCCACAUUAAAAGGUGCGGCCUCACUUUUCGGCACGACAUUUAAUUUUAAUUUUUUUUCCUUUAUUGGGCUGUUAUUAUUAUUUUAUUAUUAUUAUUAGCGCUAAUGAAAUUGAAAUGACGCCUGCUUUCAAGAACACUUUAUUAAUUUUAGCAGCAGGAAGGAUUUCCUGCCAGUAGUGGUCAUGCAAAAGUCGCACCCAGUUUUUCCACCAGAGACCUUCACCACUAAACGACAUUAUCCCCCUACUCUCGCCCUCUACUCUCCUACAUUGUUUGUGUUUUUCUCUCCCAAACCCCCCUUGUGUUACGGCAUUUUCACUUGCUACUCUGUGGUUUAUAAGACGUACAAUUUACCGCGACCCUGUGUUUCAUUUUUAAUCUUUCGCGAUACGAGCGACAGAAGCUUUUUCGGUUAAUAUUUCGUUAAAUUUAUACAAAAACAUUCAGAUAACAUCUAUAUUUACGAAUAGUCACUCCCACCGUUAGUACCUUCAAAUUUAACUUUUGUCACUGAUUUAAAAUAAUAAUAAUAAAAUUGACAAAAAAGAAAAUAAAACGAAAACCACCGGACCGGGGAGCAAAAUUGAUUCUACGUUUAAAAAAACCACACUAAGGAGCAAAAGUAAAGAAUGCACGAAACCACAGGGUUUUGAAAGUUUUCCCAAAAAAAUAAAUACACAAACAAUCGUAAGGAGGAGUAGAGGGCGAGAGUAGGGACUAGGGCGAUAUAUGCGUUUAGCUGGUGAAGGUCUUGGUGGAAAAGAACCUGGUGCGACUUUGCUGACCAACUGCCUUACUGGCAGGAACCUCCUGCUGCGAAGAAUUAAUAAAGUGUUUUUGAAAGAAAACAAAAAGCAGCGAGCGUCCAUUCACUUUCCAUUAGCCUAAAAUACAUAAUAAAUCAAUUAAAAUACAGCCCAAUAAAGAAAUAUAUUAAAAUUCAUGUCGUGUGCCGAAAAAGUGAGGCGGCACGCUUUUUAACUGUGGACUUGUCUUGUCUGUGUGGACUGGAACAGGGGACGAGUCUUCCUCUCAUUAAGCAAGCUGAUACAAAUGACAUGGCCCGCGCCGUUCUCAAGCACAGGUAGUGAGAAGUGUGAUAAUUAGAUUACAAACACCCUUUAAUUUCUUAAUAUUUUACUUAUUCGCAUAAUUUUAGUUAAAUCAUAGAGGGCUACUAUAUUGUGCUAAACAGUCAGAACCAGGAUUUGAAUUGUUUCUCCUGAUUGUUUUUAAACGCCUUGGAAUCGAAAAUAAUCAAAAAUACCGAGAUUCUUUUACUACUUCCACGAUACGUCAUACGUAAGCUCUACUAUAAUACCUAAAAAUAUCAAUUCUCUCUAUACUUCAGAUAACAUAGGUAGCUUACCUAAUUACUAUAAGGCAGAAUUUUGUAUAGCACCAACUUCUAGUGCUAUCAGAUAGCAUAAACACCGGACCUCUCUCUCGUCUCUCUCCCUCCGCGUCCCUCUCUCUCCGUCUCUUCCUGUCUCUCGUAUCCAAUCUCUCGUCGCUCUCCUCUCUAUAUAUAUAUAUUAGUAUUAUAUAUAUAUAUAUAUUAAUAUAUCAUAUAAUAUAUGACCCAAAUUUCGAAUUCUAAUGAUGAGCUUCACAUUUGUCGCACUCUAAGUUUAAUUUUAAAUUUAAAAAAAAUAAACGAUCGGUAGCAUAUUAUUUUUCUCUCUUAUUCAAAAAAAAAAAAAAUAUAGCUCGUGGUGAAUGACACCUAAACCCACAUUACACUAAUUUCACAUGAAGAAACCAACACGCAGGCAUUUUAGAAAAACAUUGUGAACCCAUACUUCUCAUCUAUCCUACUCCUAAGAUAAAGCACAGGCAAUACAAUAUCAAGGCUUAAAAUAAUAUUUGCCUCUUGAUUUAAAUCUAUGUGUCGCACCACGGUUAUGGAUUGGCUUAGCUACAAAUUUAUAGAUCCUCGCAUCAGAAAUUUCGUGAUCGACGUGUGAAGCACUCUCAGCAUUGAAGAUUAAAUACCAAACAAGUUGAAUUGCCACCAGCAAAAGAACACAAAAAAAAAAAGAAGAAAAUAAAAAGAAAAACUCAAUGUUCCGUCUUUGGCCGGNNNNNNNNNNNNNNNNNNNNNNNNNUUUUUUUUUUUUUUUUUUUUUUUUUUUUGGUAAACUUCAAAUAUCUAUCACCGGUAGUUUUGCAUUUUUUUUUCUUUUAAUACUAUGUAAUUUAAAAUAUAUCAAUUUGAUAUUCUAUGAUUUUAUUUUUUUUCUUUCUGUUUAGUUUUACCGUUAACAUUUCGUUAAAUUAUAUAUAAAAAACUUCAGAUACUAUGCCUAAAUUUAUUAAAUAUUUAUUCUAAUACCUUUUAGUUUUAAAUUUGUUACUGAUUUAACGAAAAGAAAGUAAAAAAAUAGUAUAAAGAAAAAAAUUAAACUAUAAAAUACUAAAUUAAUACACCUUAAAUUAUAGGAUACUAAAAUAAAAAAAGAAAAAACUUCAAAUACCCUCCUGUGGUUUCACAUUUUUUCACUUUGGUACCUUAUGAUUUAAAGUGUAUCAAGUUAGUACUCUGUGGUUUCAUUUUUGUAUCAAGUUAGUAUCUUGUGGUUUCAUUUUUUUCUUUUUAUUAUUCAUCUCGGGAUAUUUUUUUCAUUAAAUCAGUGACAAAGUUAAAAGUAAAAGAUACUAAAAUGAAUAUUUGAUAAAUCUAGAUAGAGUAUCUAAAUUUUUUUUUGUAUAUAAUUUAACGAAAUAUUAAACCACAGAAUACUAGAGUGAGAAGGUGCGAAACCACAGGGUACUAACCUGAUAUACUUUAAACUACAUGGUACUAAAGUGAGAAAGUGCAAAACUACAGAGUACUAAUUUGAUACACUUUAAAUCAAAUGAUACUAAAGUGAGAAAGUACGAAACCAAAAGGGGGUAAUUGAAGUUUUUCCCUAAAAAAAAUGAAACUAUAGGGAAGUUUUUUGUUGGGGCAAUUUCAUGGAUACCCCUCUCAAAGUCUAAAAUAUCAUAGAUGCCCCUAUAAAAUUUAAAAUAUUACCUAUACUCCUGUAAAUACAGAAAAUUAUCAUCAAUAUCCUUACUGUUAGUUACGUUAGCUUUACUUUACCUAUAGUUGAUUUUUUUAUUUCAACUCCCUCCUCAAAGUUUUACCGUAUUCAACUCCCCUAGAGGUAUGUAAAAAUGCAUUCUCUUGGAACUCCCAUUUAUUCAGUAAAAUUUUCAAUUGGGUAGAAAUAGGGAAAUUAUUGAUACCNNNNNNNNNNNNNNNNNNNNNNNNNNNNNNNNNNNNNNNNNNNNNNNNNNNNNNNNNNNNNNNNNNNNNNNNNNNNNNNNNNNNNNNNNNNNNNNNNNNNNNNNNNNNNNNNNNNNNNNNNNNNNNNNNNNNNNNNNNNNNNNNNNNNNNNNNNNNNNNNNNNNNNNNNNNNNNNNNNNNNNNNNNNNNNNNNNNNNNNNNNNNNNNNNNNNNNNNNNNNNNNNNNNNNNNNNNNNNNNNNNNNNNNNNNNNNNNNNNNNNNNNNNNNNNNNNNNNNNNNNNNNNNNNNNNNNNNNNNNNNNNNNNNNNNNNNNNNNNNNNNNNNNNNNNNNNNNNNNNNNNNNNNNNNNNNNNNNNNNNNNNNNNNNNNNNNNNNNNNNNNNNNNNNNNNNNNNNNNNNNNNNNNNNNNNNNNNNNNNNNNNNNNNNNNNNNNNAAAAAAUAAAAUCCCAUCGUAUGUAAAUUCAGUUAUGCGUUUGGUCUAUAUUUAAACUGAACUUGAACCGAAAUCCGAAACUAAAAACAAAACCAAAAUUAGAUAAAAACAUACUAUAUAUAAAAUAUAAUUUUUAUAUAUUUUUUAAUAAUUAAUAUAUAUUAAUGAUUUAAUUUAAUAUGUAUAUAUUAAAUACUCAAAUUUAGAUUUAUAAAAUUAUCUUGAAAUACCUAUUAGUAUUUUUAUUAUUAAGUAUUAAUAAGAGAUAAAGGGUAAAAUGGUAUUUUAAAAAUUUGACUCCGUUUCAAAUGGGACCUAACGGAUCUAAACUAAUAGAGGGCAUUUAUAAUAAUUUUUAACCUAUUGGAGGGUAUUUGUGAUAUUAUCAAUUUUAAAAAGGUAUUGAUGAAAUUAAUAGUUUCUAGAAGGGCAUCUAUGAAAUUUUUUCUUUUACAGAAAAGGCUCUUCGUCUAGAAUUUCAGUGGAUUGAGUGAAGAGAGAAAAAAAGAUUGAAAUUUUUUUUUUUUUUUUUGUUUGUUAUUUUAAUGAGAAAAAAUUCACCUUUGCACACCCACCACUAAAGGCACUAACCCCACUCCCAGUACUGCAUCAUCAUCAUCAAUCACCGUGUUUGUUUGCCCCGUGACCACUCCCUACACCCUACGUUUUUCCCACUCCCACCCCCUUUUCUUUUCCCAAUUUAACUUACACCACCACAGCGCGGCAUCACGCACGCGUACCCACAAAAGCUCCCAGAGAUAUCCACCGUAUCCAGCUUAGUUUGGCUUUAAAGUCUAACCAAUACUAGUACAGUAUUCCGUGCGAUGUAAGGAGCAGAUAAUUAAAGAAAAAAUGGAGAACAAUAAUAAAAAAAAAAAGAAAACAGUAAGUAAAGAAGCGACACUCAGGGAUGAGAUUUAUCUUGUCGAUAAAAAAAAUAUAACUCAAUAAUAAAUAGUUCGAAAAAUAUUAUUACGUGACAAAUUUAAAAAGAAUAAUAUAUAAAUAUAGAUAGAUAGAUGUAGACUAUGCUUUAUAUAUUUUUUAACUGAAUUUAUUUUUUUAAAAUAAAAAAGUAAUUUUUUCAAAAUAAUAAAAAUGAUAACGAUAACCGUGUACACAUAGUAUUAUUUUGUAAUCAAAAGGAAAGAAAGAAUACUUCAGGUAAAUUCUUUUGUUAUUAAAUAAUAUGUAUACUACUCUUUUAUAUAUAUAUAUAUAUAAUAUUAAGCUAGUGCAUAUGAAUUAUUCAUAGAUCAAAUCUUUCUUGCCUAUAAUUGAAUUAUUAAAAGCCAUAUUUGGAAUGCAAUAACUUAAGUUAGGAUGAUCAAAUUUAUACUAUAUAUAUAUGUUAAGAAUAACACUCUACACGAAUCUCAAAAUAGAAUUAAAAGCUAUCCAAUGCAUAGUUUUGAAUGUCCAAUGGAGACAAAUCUCACCAAAUUAUUCUUUUCCUUUUCUUUUAACUUUCCAAAAGUUGGGUACAUAUUUUGGUAAGCUAAAUAUGUGCAUUCAUUCACCAUCUCCAAACUUCCCAAACAGUAACACUUGAAACGCACUACAUCUCCCCCCUAAACAAGCGCAAAUCCCUCAUGAAACCUAUCAACAAUUUUUUUUAAAAAUUUUUUUUUAAUUUUUUAUAUAUAUCCAAAAGAGCCCAAUAUAAAAUUAAAUAAGAAACUCACAUUUAUUUUAUCAUAUUAUAUAGUCUAAAACACAGAAAUUUUUUUUAUAAAUAUUUAUUUUUUUAUUUUUUCUUUCUGAUUUUAAAAAAAUUUAUGUUUUAUUUCUUAAAAUUUUAAAAAUAUUUUCAGAGGAGUACGACGUUAAUGAAGAGAAUAAAAUAACUAAAUUAUUAUUAUUUUUUCUGUAAAUAAAUUAUAAAAAACGAAGGACUCAUAAACCUCCUCCCCUUAAUAAAUAAAAGUGUCAAACCCCAAAAUAUAGUACACACCAUCCUCCAACCCCCAUUAUUCAUCAUCAUCAUCUUCAUCAUCAUCAUCCAUGGCCCUCCUCCUCCUCCUCCUCUUCACCAACAUCUUCACCAUCUCCUCCUCCUCCUCCUCCUCCUCUCACCAUCACCAUCACCACCAAACCCUACCACCAUCUCCUCCAUCCUCACCCACACCUUCCACCUCCGCUUCCACCUCCCCCUCCCUCCAAAUCCUCCUCGCAUGCAACGCCACCCGUUUCCCCUCCAUCUGCGUCUCCUCCCUCUCCUCCUCCUCCUCCUCCUCCUCCACCGCUCCCGACAUCAUCUCCGCCGCCGUCUCCGCCGCCGCCGCCGCCCUCCCCGCCGCCGUCUCCGCCGCCAAAGACAUCCUCGCCGCCUCCGCCGCCUCCGUCAACCGCUCCUCCGCCGCCCGGAACUGCCUCGAGCUCCUCUCCCUCUCCUCCCGCCGCCUCUCCUCCGUCUCGCUCCCGCCGUCGUCGUUGCCGGCGGCGCGGGCGAUGGCGUCGGCGGCGCUGCUGUACCAG